AACGAACGCUGGCGGCAUGCCUAACACAUGCAAGUCGAACGAGACCUUCGGGUCUAGUGGCGCACGGGUGCGUAACGCGUGGGAACCUGCCCUUAGGUUCGGAAUAACUCCCCGAAAGGGGUGCUAAUACCGGAUAAUGUCUUCGGACCAACGAUUUAUCGCCUUUGGAUGGGCCCGCGUUGGAUUAGCUAGUUGGUAGGGUAAAAGCCUACCAAGGCGACGAUCCAUAGCUGGUCUGAGAGGAUGAUCAGCCACACUGGGACUGAGACACGGCCCAGACUCCUACGGAAAGCAGCAGUGUGUAAUAUUGGACAAUGGGCGAAAGCCUGAUCCAGCAAUGCCGGGUAAGUGAUGAAGGCCUUAGGGUUGUAAAGCUCUUUUACCCGGGAUGAUAAUGACAGUACCGGGAGAAUAAGCGCCGGCUAACUACGUG
This 433-nucleotide ribosomal RNA is filed under the name uncultured bacterium. RNAcentral describes it as "partial 16S ribosomal RNA". It matches the Rfam family "Bacterial small subunit ribosomal RNA", at positions 29 to 507 of the family's 1533-position model. The record is from RNAcentral.